GAUGAACGCUGGCGGCGUGCCUAAUACAUGCAAGUCGAGCGGUAAGGCCUCUUCGGAGGUACACGAGCGGCGGACGGCUGAGUAACACGUAGGAACGUACCCCGAAGUGAGGGAUAACUGCUCGAAAGAGUAGCUAAUACCGCAUGUGAUCUAAGGAUUAAAGCUUCGGCGCUUUGGGAACGGCCUGCGCAUGAUUAGCUAGUUGGUGAGGUAAUGGCUCACCAAGGCGACGAUCAUUAGCUGGUCUGAGAGGAUGAUCAGCCAGACUGGGACUGAGACACGGCCCAGACUCCUACGGGAGGCAGCAGUAGGGAAUUUUCCACAAUGGGCGAAAGCCUGAUGGAGCAACGCCGCGUGCGGGAUGAAUGCCUUCGGGUUGUAAACUGCUUUUAUAUGUGACGAUUAUGACGGUAGCAUAUGAAUAAGGAUCGGCUAACUCCGUGCCAGCAGCCGCAGUAA
Molecule: ribosomal RNA, 459 nt
Filed under: uncultured bacterium
Lineage: Bacteria
Description: partial 16S ribosomal RNA
Rfam family: Bacterial small subunit ribosomal RNA
Source: RNAcentral